CCUACGGGAGUCAGCAGUGAGGAAUAUUGGUCAAUGGACGAGAUUCUGAACCAGCCAAGUAGCGUGAAGGAUGACUGCCCUAUGGGUUGUAAACUUCUUUUAUAUGGGAAUAAAAUGUUCCACGUGUGGGAUUUUGUAUGUACCAUAUGAAUAAGGAUCGGCUAACUCCGUGCCAGCAGCCGCGGUAAUACGGAGGAUCCGAGCGUUAUCCGGAUUUAUUGGGUUUAAAGGGAGCGUAGGUGGAUUGUUAAGUCAGUUGUGAAAGUUUGCGGCUCAACCGUAAAAUUGCAGUUGAAACUGGCAGUCGUGAGUACAGUAGAGGUUGGCGGAAUUCAUGGUGUAGCGGUGAAAUGCUUAGAGAUCACGAAGAACUCCGAUUGCGAAGGCAGCUCACUGGACUGCAACUGACACUGAGGCUCGAAAGUGGGGGUAUCAAACAGGAUUAGAGACCCUUGUAGUC
This 460-nucleotide ribosomal RNA is filed under the name uncultured bacterium. Its description in RNAcentral is "partial 16S ribosomal RNA". It matches the Rfam family "Bacterial small subunit ribosomal RNA", at positions 338 to 795 of the family's 1533-position model. The record is from RNAcentral.